UGUGUGCAAACAGAGAAGUGACUCCAGUGAGUCUGAUCGCUGAUCAGAAAAAAUCAGAGAGGGUAAAGUUGAGGACAGAACAUAAAUGAUAAAUAAAUAUCCAUAGAUAGCAGCAUUUACAGAGCGGGCGGAUACUGAGCUAAACUAAAAUAUAAACUGAAUCAUUUCCUGCUGUCAUCUUAUAUCGAUCAAAUCUACAAUCAAUACUGUAAUCAGUUAAGAAUGGAUGGCGUUAAUCUGCUGCAGGAGGCUCAUGGGUGGUCUGAGAGGAAGAUUAUCUUCAUUUUAUCAGUUAUUAUAACUUCUCCAAACAGCAGAAACCACAGCGAUCCAUAGAACCAUGAGUCAGUCCAGACUAUAAGAAAAUGUAUUUUAGCUCAUUCUAAAUCACAGUAUUUAAACUUAAUAACCUCUAAAUUUAAAGAUGAUGUUAUUGAAUCAUUAGUUUUAAAACAUUUAAAUGUCCUUUAAUGAUGCUCUUACGAAGAUAUUCUGAUUAAUUUGUGCCAACAGCAGCUUCUAUCCGUCUGAUUGUGUGUAGCCUGGAAGCUGCAGACUGUAGUACAUGUGAGCCAGCAGGUGGCGCUGCAGCACUGAUCAUACCAGGAUGUAGAAGCUUCUCUGAGUAUUUAUUCUGUGUCCGAUCCUCAGUGUGUUUUGCAAAGCUGCAGGCGUGUAAAUCUCCGGAGUAGUUUAUUUUAAAUGACCAAAGUGUAAAAACGAGCCUGAGAACAUUUCUACCGUCGAACUGCCUUCCUGUCGCUGUGUGUGUGUGUGUGUGUGUGUGUGUGUGUGUGUGUGUGUGUGUGUGUGUGUGUGUGUGUGUGUGUGUGUGUGUGUGUGUGUGUGUGUGUGUGUGUGUGUGUGUGUGUGUGUGUGUGUGUGUGUAGCUGGACAGCAGCUUUAUUCCACCAGCACAACAACAUGUUUGUGUGUCUUUAGGUUUCUGUCGUUUUGCCAAAGAAUGUUUUUGCCUUAAAGUCUCUGCUGUUUUCAGUUGCUUCAUCCUGCAGCUGGUCGGAUUCUUUCAGCCUCCAAACACAAAACAGAAAACAGAAGCUGCUCCGAGCUCCUGCUGCAGCUCUUCACAUGUUCACCUAGACAUGAAGCUUCACCUUGGUGGGAGCCAAACUCAGCUUCACGUUCAACUGGAUCACGAUCAUUUCACAUAAAAUCAAAGUUCCUCCAGAAGCUCCUCAGAACAUCUGAUUCUUCAUUUUCAGUAACUUUAUCAACGAUCAGAGUUUUACCUUCAUAUUGGGAAUAUUUCCAGAGGUCCAAAUCCUUGAAGUCCAUAAAGGAGAACGUCCCCUGGAGAAAGUUCUAGAACCUGGAGAAAGUUCAAGAACUCUCUCCAAAAAAAAAAGUUCUAGAACUUUCUCCAGUUGUCGUAGGUCUACUCUAGAACUUUCUCCAGUUGUCGGUAGGUCUACUCUAGAACUUUCUCCAGUUGUCGGUAGGUCUACUCUAGAACUUUCUCCAGCUGUUGGUAGGUCUACUCUAGAACUUUCUCCAGGGGACGUUCUCCUUUCCUGCUUCCAGUCUUUAAGUUUAGUCUCAGAACAUUCCAGGUCCUUGAAGUCCAUAGAGGAGGGUCCAGAUUUAUCACUUUUUAAUGGACUUUUUCAGAACCUCAUCAGUGCAGCAGAUAGAACCAUGACAUUUAGGAGGAGAAACAUCUGAGUUCUGGUAAAAACUGACCCCAUAUCAGUUUAAAUCCAUCCUGGUGUCUCAGUCUGAACACUGAAUCUAUGUUUUGCUCAUUUUCCCUAUAACCAGCUUUGAGAAUCAAUACUAUGGGAUGUAUCGUAGUUUGAACAGCAGUUAAAUGAUGCAAAAUGAACGAAAAUAAAAAUCAACUAAAAUGUGACAAAAAACAACCAAAAUUUGAUACAAAAUGACCAAAAAUGAUUUAAAACAACUCAUGAAGAUGCCAAACAACCAAAAUGUUACACAAAAUGACCAAAAAUGAUUCAGAAUGACCACAAAAUAAUGUAAAACAACACAGUUUUAUCCAUCCAGGUGUCACAGUCUGAACACUGAAUGUGCUUCUUUUUCUUUCUCUAUAACCAGCUGUGAUCAUCAGUAUUAUGGGAUGUAUCCUCGUGUGAACAGCUUAGAGUCCUACAAACCAUCAUUGGUUCCCUGGAUGUGUUUCUGGUUUAAAACCAGCCAGUAAAUCCCUUAAACAGGAGAACAUGUGAGUCGUUGCAGUAUAGAAGUUCGUUAUUGCUGCUGUCUGUCCUCAGAAAACUGCUGCUGCUGCUUGUAGAAAUGAUCAUCUGUGGAGAAGCUUGAAGUUUCAUCGUCUGUAAAACAACCUGGAUAGCGUCCACUUCCUGUCUGUCUACCUGUGAUUCAGGUCGUCUGUGGAAAAUCGAAUGUAACCUUUCUGUCUCUGUGCCAAAAGUCUGUUUGCUUUUAAGAGUCAAUAAAUGUGACAUGUUUUUCUCAAUGAA
Acanthochromis polyacanthus (spiny chromis) is the source of this 2459-nucleotide long non-coding RNA. RefSeq lists it as uncharacterized. The record is from RefSeq and is a predicted model, not a curated record. The transcript is spliced from 2 exons. NCBI's taxonomy places the organism in Eukaryota, Metazoa, Chordata, Actinopteri, Pomacentridae.